Molecule: ribosomal RNA, 796 nt
Filed under: uncultured bacterium
Lineage: Bacteria
Description: bacterial SSU rRNA
Rfam family: Bacterial small subunit ribosomal RNA
Source: RNAcentral
AGAGUUUGAUCAUGGCUCAGAACGAACGCUGGCGGCGCGCCUAAUACAUGCAAGUCGAGCGAGAAGGUGUAGCAAUACACUUGUAAAGCGGCGAACGGGUGAGGAAUGCAUGGGUAACCUACCCUCGAGUGGGGAAUAACUAGCCGAAAGGUUAGCUAAUACCGCAUACGUUUCCGGGACUUCGGUUCCGGAAAGAAAGCAAUACCGUGGGUAUUGCGCUCAUGGAUGGGCUCAUGUCCUAUCAGCUUGUUGGUGAGGUAACGGCUCACCAAGGCUUCGACGGGUAGCUGGUCUGAGAGGACGAUCAGCCACACUGGCACUGCGACACGGGCCAGACUCCUACGGGAGGCAGCAGUAAGGAAUAUUGCGCAAUGGACGAAAGUCUGACGCAGCGACGCCGCGUGGGGGAUGAAGGUCUUCGGAUUGUAAACCCCUUUCGGGAGGGAAGAUGGAGUGGGUAACCACUUGGACGGUACCUCCAGAAGCAGCCACGGCUAACUUCGUGCCAGCAGCCGCGGUAAUACGAAGGUGGCAAGCGUUGUUCGGAUUCACUGGGCGUACAGGGAGCGUAGGCGGUUGGGUAAGCCCUCCGUGAAAUCUCCGGGCCUAACCCGGAAAGUGCAGAGGGGACUGCUCAGCUAGAGGAUGGGAGAGGAGCGCGGAAUUCCCGGUGUAGCGGUGAAAUGCGUAGAGAUCGGGAGGAAGGCCGGUGGCGAAGGCGGCGCUCUGGAACAUUUCUGACGCUGAGGCUCGAAAGCGUGGGGAGCAAACAGGAUUAGAUACCCUGGUAGUCCAA